RNAcentral lists this long non-coding RNA (3900 nucleotides) under Mytilus galloprovincialis (Mediterranean mussel). The record is from RNAcentral. Lineage: Eukaryota; Metazoa; Mollusca; Bivalvia; Mytilida; Mytilidae.
AGGAUGAAGUUCUACAGGAAACAGAGGCAUACAUAAAGUUGUAUGUUAUCAUGUUAUCAUGUUUUUGGCUAUAUGUAAUAAUUUCAUGUUGAUGUUUUAGAAAUACAAAGCUUCUUAAUAAUUUUUUUUUCUACAUGUAAUAAUUUGCUGUUGAUGUUUUAGAAUUACAAAGCUACUUAAUAAUGUUGUAUGUUUACUUGUUAUUGGCUAUAUGUAAUAUUUUGCUGCUGAUGUUUUAGAAUUACAUAUAGCUACUAUUUUAGGAUUUAUUAAUUUCAUUGGUAACUGAAUUUUCAUGGUUUGUGAGAAAUUAUUUUCAGGAAUAGAAAAAUUGGUAGUCUUCUGAAAUAGGUCAAAUACAUUUAAAGUAUGUCAAACAAUAAGAUUAAGAGAAAACCUUAUUUAGCUGCUGAAUUCUCACUUUUUUUAAUUCCAAAAAAGGACAAUUUGAUUUGAAAAAGCAAGUUGCAAAUUGAAAUUUUCACUACAAAAUCAACAAAAUUCAUCUUCUUACAAAAAAAAUUCAAACAUUUGUAUGUUAUAUCAUUUUUGAGAAAUAUUUCCAAAUAUUUUGACAAACAUAUAAGAAUGCAUAAUGAUUUUUACUUUAUAUUCUUUUUUUUUGCUUUUGAAAUUUUAGGCAGAAAUGCCUUUCAGAGAUUUUAAGACACAUAGUAGAGUUGUAAGUUUCUAGUUUUCUGGAAGCCAUGAAAAUAAUGAAAUUUUGAAAAAUCAGUCUCCAAUGAAAUAUCAAAAUAAUCUACACUAAGGCUACAGUCAAUGUAGAUACACAGUCUCCUCCUUCUCUAUAUACAUAUAGAAAAGGAAGGAAAAUUGGAUUUUGAAUAGUGAGUUACACUUUUUUUGUUGACUGCAAUUGCUAGAAAUUAGAAAAAAUGAAAAUGUGAAUGAAAAUCAAAUGGAUGAAAAACACCUCAAGGAUUGACGGAAAUCUAGAAUUAAUGUGACUUCUUUCUCAUUAUCUUAAGCUAUAAUGAUUAUUCCUGCCACAAAGGGGAUGAAUAUCAGUUAAACAGUAGUAAACAAGAUACACAACUUUUGAAUAAGUUAGAAAUAUUUAAUCACAAAAAAAAAGUUAAUUGGCUUAAAUAAAUGUGAUUUUAAAAUAAAAUUAACACUUGAAAGUUUGAUGUAAUGAAAGAAGAAUUUAUAUGUAUUUCUCUUAUUUUUAUAGUACUACUUUUAAGUUUGUUUGUUUGUUUUAAUGGUUAUUUGUUAAACUAUUAAUUCUUCUUUGUCUGGAUUUUAAUGAGUUGAAGUUACCUAAUAAUAUAGGUUUGUAUAAUGUAGGAUAUAAAUGAACAUUUUCAAUCAAUUGCUAAAAUAUUCCUCUGUUAUAAGUCAUUCUAAAGAUUUUUUUUGUGAGUAAUAAACGAUCUAAACUGCACUCUGGUUAACCAAUAUUCUUGAUAGAAGUUAAUUUUACUUCUUUGAUAGAAAAACUUAAAUAAAUGUAAGGAAAACCCUUUCAAGAAAGCUGGUUACUUAAGGUCAAAGCCAUGGCUGAUGGACGUUUCGUUUCCCCAGGGUAUCACCAGCACAGUAGUCAGCACUACUGUUUUAACAUGAAAUAUGUUCAUUUAAUGUGAAUAUGAUGUUUAAAAAAUACAAAAUUGUUAGGAACACUACAACUUUUCUUCUCCCAAGUAUAGUAGAUUGCUUAAGUUGUAAUUUAUCAAAUCUUAGCAGAAUGUUUGGAUUUGAAUGCUCAAUAGCUUGAUAUUUGGAUUUUGACUUUCAACUGUUUUGUUUUGAGCAUCACUGCUAAGUCUUAUGUCUAUGAUUUACACAUUUGUUUUAUGUUUUUUCACCCCCAAGGGUGACUGGGGUAUAGAAAUAUGGUCACUUGGUCUUCUCCCGACCGCGAAAACGCUUGCCGAAGUGGGCGUCCGUUUGGCUGUGCGGGAUGUAUCAAGUCGAUCACGUCCGGUCAGAAGGGGACGUUAAAUCCGAGUCUCGUGUAAGAGCCAUCGCUCUUUGCACGUUAAAAUCCUUGCAACAACUCUUUGAGGGGUCCGUAGGUGGCUGUUGCAAGGCAAAAUUCUGUCCCUAUCCAAUAUACCCUCCUUUUCCGUGCAGUCCAAAUUUCCCUGACCAUCAUCCCAGAUGGCCUCUAUGUACAACCUACUAUUUAUUUAUUGUGAACUUGUUCUCGUCCUGAAUAUGCAUGAAAUAUUUGCCACUGGACGUUAAGCAACCAACAAUCAAUCAAUCAAUCAAUCAAUUAAUCAAUAUGUUUUUUCUUCUCUAAAAUUACUGUAUUUUACUAAGGGGUUUCAUUAUAGAAAAGAAUACAAUCCCUUUUUUUUUCACACACUUAGAAAAUGGCUAUUAUAGAUCAAUUCUGGUCAAAUGUUCAGUAAACAAUAAAUUUUUGAUGAACUUUCAGAAUAAUGGCUGAUUGCCUAUAAAAGGUGCAACAAACAUUAAAAAAAAUAUGAAAAUAAGAAAAUAAGAAAAACAAGAUAAAACAUUGCAUGAAAGGUCAGUUAAUUAAUACUGAACUUUUGGUAUUUGAUAGUUUUAUGAUGUACAUACUUGUCUCAUUGACAAACAUAUCUUCUUAUUUUCAUACUGUGAUGGAUUUAUCUCAACAUUCUGGUAAAUCUUUUUGAUUUCUGUGUCCUUUGCUGUAACAUCUCAUCAAGUAUAUUAAACAACUAUUUUACUUAUAUCUAAAAAUUGGUAUUUACUUCUAGAUUUAAGCAAAUUGAUAUAUUUAUAAAAUCCUUUCAGCAUUAUGGAAGUUGACUCAUACAGCCAUAAAGAAAUUUAAGAUUAUGUCUAAAUAAAAAAUCCUCUGUUAAUGGCAAUCCAAUUUAUUGAAAUAUUGAUGAAGCUUUUUAAAAGUAAGGAUAUUGAUAAUGUUCUAUACCCAAAUCAGAUAUUGUUGCCAAUAUAACUAAAACCAAUACUGUAAGCUGAUAUGAGACCAAUUUACAAAUUUGAAAAUAAAUGUUAGGAAUCUUUAUAUUGGUUUAUACAUCUAUUUAUGAAAUUAUAACCAAAGUUUAAAGUUUUGUGUGGUCAGUUCAUGCUAGUGGCUGUUUGUGUGUUUUUUUGAAUUAAUAUGCUUAUUUAAAAAUGCAGGUUGAAGUUAUAGAUGCUUGCUAUUAUUUUAUUAAAUAAGUCAAACAUGUAAAACAUAAUACACAAAUUUGGAUUUCAGGGGACAAUAGGCUGAAAAAAAUUGAUAGAUAUAUAAUAUAUAAAGAUGUGGUAUGAGUGCCAAUGAGAGACUCCCCCUCCAUGAGUUUGAAAUCACCCGAUCAUGCCAAAAUACUGCUUUCCUUUAGGUAAAUUCAAUAUGAGAUCAGAUGUGGUAUUUUACAUGUUAUAUGAAAAACAAAUAAGAGAGAAAUUUCAGGGUUAUGUUAUUCAAAAUCAAAACCAAUAUUAUAAACCAUGAAUAGAAAUCCUUUUCUCACUAUAAAGUAUGCCUGAUAGUAAAAAAUCUUGUCAAAACCCAAGACUAAUUAUAUGAUUAAGAAACAAAUUAACUUAAAUCCAAAAGGGUAAAGUUUGUCUAUGAGUAUGAGUUUGAAGUUGUAGAUAUAGUUAUGAAAAUAGUUUUUCAAGGCAACUCUUUUUUACUUAACUGUAUCUAAUAAUUCAUGCCAAUGUCAAAAUAUUCGUUAAAUGUGCAAAUUUUAUUCCCCUGUAAAUAAUUGUAAUUUGUUUUUUUCCAGGAGGAAUAUGAUAAGGAAGGAGAGAUAUGAAAACCAAGAUGAAGGCGACUGGUAUUAAUUAACAGUUCAUUCAAGAAUUAAUGAUAGUAACCUUAAGGUUACAGAACUGUGUGAUAUAUGAAUUAUUGUUGACAUGAUUGAAGAUAUGAGUUUUAUCAAUAAAAUUGCUUAUUGUCUUUUUUGUUUUUCU